This 468-nucleotide ribosomal RNA is filed under the name uncultured bacterium. RNAcentral describes it as "partial 16S ribosomal RNA". It matches the Rfam family "Bacterial small subunit ribosomal RNA", at positions 28 to 507 of the family's 1533-position model. The record is from RNAcentral.
GACGAACGCUGGCGGCGUGCUUAACACAUGCAAGUCGAACGGAAAGGCCCUGCUUUUGUGGGGUGCUCGAGUGGCGAACGGGUGAGUAACACGUGAGUAACCUGCCCUUGACUUUGGUAUAACUUCAGGAAACUGGGGCUAAUACCGGAUAGGAGCUCCUGCUGCAUGGUGGGGGGUGGAAAGUUUCGGCGGUUGGGGAUGGACGCGCGGCUUAUCAGCUUGUUGGUGGGGUAGUGGCUUACCAAGGCUUUGACGGGUAGCCGGCCUGAGAGGGUGAACGGCCACAUUGGGACUGAGGUACGGCCCAGACUCCUACGGGAGGCAGCGGUGGGGAAUAUUGCCCAAUGGGCGGAAGCCUGAUGCAGCAACGCCGCGUGCGGGAUGACGGCCUUCGGGUUGUAAACCGCUUUCGCCUGUGACGAAGCGUGAGUGACGGUAAUGGGUAAAGAAGCACCGGCUAACUACGUG